Molecule: long non-coding RNA, 443 nt
Filed under: Numida meleagris (helmeted guineafowl)
Lineage: Eukaryota; Metazoa; Chordata; Aves; Galliformes; Numididae
Description: lncRNA (ENSNMEG00000017182.1)
Source: RNAcentral
UAACAGUGGUAAUGGGAGUUUUAAUUUGUAUUCUGGAGAGUGCAGAGAAAAACAGUAUUUAAUGCUUUUCUGACAGUCCUAUCCACAAUGCACUUAUUCCUUUUUGCAGCAAUUUCCUUCUGUACUUCAUUUUGCUUUGGAGGCUUGAGACAAACUCUGCAGGAGUAGAGGAUGAGGGGAGCCCCAGGAAUGAACACCGUUAACACGACUCUGCUACAAGUGGCCAUUCAAGCCAAGCCUUUCAGCUACAACAUGAGGCUCACAGAGGUGCUCUGAAGGACUUUCUGCAUUUCUUUAUACAGAGGGUUCAGCCUCCACCAGCAUCCAUGCUGAGUGCUGCCUCUCUCCUCCUGAACCAUCGCUUUGCUUUCUGGGAGCGCGCCGAGCACUGUUCUCUUUGCUCUCCACAUGGGCUCCAGCUGCUCUGCCCUGAAGGCUUCUCG